Molecule: non-coding RNA, 153 nt
Filed under: Caldifarciminota bacterium JGI_Cruoil_03_44_89
Lineage: Bacteria; Pseudomonadati; Caldifarciminota
Description: 6S RNA
Rfam family: 6S / SsrS RNA
About the family: E. coli 6S RNA was the first non coding RNA to be sequenced, but its function was unknown until recently.
Source: RNAcentral
GGUUCCCUGUCGUGUUCGUGAUGGCAUGUAAAUCCUGAGCUAACAGCUGAACAUCGGGGGUCCUUAUCCUCCCAGUAAAGUGGGGGAAAAGGAUACCCACCUGAGUUAAGAGUUCAGAGGAUAAAGUGUCACACGGCAACUGGCGGAGAACCC